RNAcentral lists this ribosomal RNA (439 nucleotides) under uncultured bacterium. RNAcentral's name for it is "partial 16S ribosomal RNA". It matches the Rfam family "Bacterial small subunit ribosomal RNA", at positions 338 to 795 of the family's 1533-position model. The record is from RNAcentral.
CCUACGUGUGGCAGCAUUAGGGAAUAUUGCUCAAUGGUGGAAACCCUGAAGCAGCAACGCCGCGUGUAGGAUGAAGUUUUUAGGAUUGUACACUCCUUUUGUGAUAGAAGAUACUGACUGUCUCUCACUCAUAAGCACCGGCUAACUCCGUGCCAGCAGCCGCGGUACUACGGAGGUUGCAAUCGUUACUCGUCAUCACUGUGCGUAACGAGUGCGUAGGCGGGAUGCCACGUCAUCGGUAAAAAUGCGGUGCUCAACGCCGUCGAGCCGGUGAAACUGGCGUUAGUGAGGGGGCGAGAAGUAUGCGGAAUGCGUGGUGUAGAGGUGAAAUGCAUAGAUAGAACGUAGAACUACGAUUGCGAAGGCAGCAUACCGGCGCCCUACUGACGCUGAGGCACGAAAGCGUGGGUAUCGAACAGGAUUAGAUACCCUAGGAGGC